RNAcentral lists this ribosomal RNA (493 nucleotides) under uncultured bacterium. RNAcentral's name for it is "partial 16S ribosomal RNA". It matches the Rfam family "Bacterial small subunit ribosomal RNA", at positions 31 to 523 of the family's 1533-position model. The record is from RNAcentral.
AUAGAACGCUGGCGGCAUGCUUUACACAUGCAAGUCGAACGGUAACAGGUUAAGCUGACGAGUGGCGAACGGGUGAGUAGUGCAUCGGAACGUGCCCGGUCGUGGGGGAUAACGCAGCGAAAGUUGCGCUAAUACCGCAUACGAUCUGAGGAUGAAAGCGGGGGACCGUAAGGCCUCGCGCGAUCGGAGCGGCCGAUGUCAGAUUAGGUAGUUGGUGGGGUAAAGGCUCAACAAGCCAACGAUCUGUAGCUGGUCUGAGAGGACGACCAGCCACACUGGGACUGAGACACGGCCCAGACUCCUACGGGAGGCAGCAGUGGGGAAUUUUGGACAAUGGGCGAAAGCCUGAUCCAGCAAUGCCGCGUGCAGGAAGAAGGCCUUCGGGUUGUAAACUGCUUUUGUACGGAGCGAAAAGGUCUCCUCUAAUACAGGGGGCUCAUGACGGUACCGUAAGAAUAAGCACCGGCUAACUACGUGCCAGCCGCCGCCGUAA